GAUAAAACCAAAUUUAUGUUGUUUGGAAACCAAAAGAAAAACAUCGAAGUAGAAAUAUGUGUUGACAAUGUAUAUUUAGAAAGAGUAAAUGAAAUAAAAUUUCUUGGGGUGAUCAUUGACCACAAGCUCUGUUGGAAGCCACACAUUACUUAUGUUCGGGGGAAAUUGGCACGGGGCAUUGCCGUCCUGGGAAAAGCAAAGCAUAUGUUGGAUCAGAAAGCACUGCACAUUUUAUACUGUGCUUUACUACUGCCAUAUAUGAGCUACUGUGUAGAGGUCUGUGGAAACACAUACAAAAGUAACACACAAACAAUAACUAUAAUACAGAAAAGGGCCAUUAGAUUAAUAAAUAAUGUAGGGUACAGGGACCAUACAAAUGCACUCUUUGUCAAAAUGCAAGCUAUUAAAUUCCAAGACUUGGUGAAGCUUAAAACAGCGCAAAUAAUGUAUAAAGUCAGAAAUAAAUUGCUUCCCAAAGAAAUCUGUAAAUUGUUCAUAGAAAGAGAAGGUGGGUAUAACUUAAGAGGGAAAUGGAAUUUAAAAAUACAAAGUGCUAGAACAACUUUAAGAACUAUGUCAAUCUCAAUUGCAGGAGUUAAAUUAUGGAACAGUCUAACAGAAGAAAUAAAAGACAGUCAAAACAUAAAACAGUUUAAAGUAAAAUAUAAAAACCUAAUUUUAAAUAAGUAUAAGAAUGAAGAAAACGGGGUUAACCCAGGAUGGUAAUGUUGCUGGUAAUGGUGUUGCGGUUCUUUUUUGGUUGUUUUUUUGUUUUGUUUUGGUUUGUUGUUUUUCCAUAACUUGUGUAUCUGCAAAUAUACACAUUCUGUAUUUUUCAUAUGAAAGAAACUAUACUGUGGUGGGGCUUGCUAAUUUCUUGUUUUUGAUUUAUGUAUGUUAUGUUUUGUUUUACUUCAUAUGUUUAUAUGUUUCAUAUGUUGUUUGUUUAAUUUAAGACAAAAAAAAAAAUUUAAUGAAUGAGAGGUAAAACUUGAGGGGGUAGGGACAAAUAAGUAAAUACUUCAGCCUACUCCUUUUCAAACAAAUAAUGGAAUGAUAUUUUGUAAUGAUUGUGAAGGCACAUGUUUGAAAUGUUUGAAAUAAAAAUGAACUGAACUGAACUGAACUGAAGAAAGGUGAUGGUGGGCUCCCACUUCAGGUCCUGGGUGAUGGUGGUACCCAGGAAGCGGAA
Long non-coding RNA from Astatotilapia calliptera (eastern happy), 1192 nucleotides. NCBI's taxonomy places the organism in Eukaryota, Metazoa, Chordata, Actinopteri, Cichliformes, Cichlidae. The record is from Ensembl.